ACGGAAGGCAGCAGUGAGGAAUAUUGGUCAAUGGACGGAAGUCUGAACCAGCCAUGCCGCGUGAGGGACGACGGCCCUAUGGGUUGUAAACCUCUUUUGCCGCAGAGUAAUAAGGGUCCUGCGGGGCCCGAUGAGAGUAUGCGGCGAAUAAGCAUCGGCUAACUCCGUGCCAGCAGCCGCGGUAAUACGGAGGAUGCAAGCGUUAUCCGGAUUUAUUGGGUUUAAAGGGUGCGCAGGCGGCACGUUAAGUCAGCGGUGAAAUGUCGGGGCUCAACCCGGGCACUGCCGUUGAAACUGGCGAGCUUGAGUACGGAUGAAGUCGGCGGAAUGUGAUGUGUAGCGGUGAAAUGCUUAGAUAUGUCACAGAACACCGAUUGCGAAGGCAGCUGACUAAUCCGCAACUGACGCUCAGGCACGAAAGCGUGGGGAUCGAACAGGAUUAGAUACCCUGGUA
This 454-nucleotide ribosomal RNA is filed under the name uncultured Solitalea sp. Its description in RNAcentral is "partial 16S ribosomal RNA". It matches the Rfam family "Bacterial small subunit ribosomal RNA", at positions 341 to 792 of the family's 1533-position model. Lineage: Bacteria; Pseudomonadati; Bacteroidota; Sphingobacteriia; Sphingobacteriales; Sphingobacteriaceae. The record is from RNAcentral.